GCCUAUAAAAGAAAAGCUCAUUUAAAUUUGACCUUUGCUGGCCCAAACCCCCCUCUCCCACCGCAGAGUCCUCCGUCGAGUCGGGAACCUCUGAAAAGUCUUUCUCAGGGCGUUUUCGCCUCUGAAGGGUCCAUCGCAAGACCGCCACCCCCUGAGCGCGUUAUGAUUUCCCCAUUUAAGAGGAGACAGGAGCCUACGCGGCGCGCCUCGUGUCAUUAGGUCAGAAGCUGUCGAGCAGGGACCCCAAGUCUGCAAUUUGGACUCCAAAGCCUGUGCCCCGGAAUCGCGGCCUCUCCAAACGUGUUCGGCAGAAGGGACACCGCCACCCGCCGCACCUUCAACCCACAGACGGUGCUCACCGCCCAGCCGCCCCCAGGGGACGCCUAAAAGCCUUCGGGACCCGAGACUAAAGCCACCGUCUAGGGGAAGAGACCAAGCAGCCAUUGAAAUCACGACUUGUAUAUGGGCCAAUCCCAAGAUGGCUAAAAAGUGGAGGGGCGGGUAUAUGCAAAACACACCGAGCAGUGGGCACGUAAGGAAAGCAGUAGAUAAUUCUGUUUAAGGUCUUUUUCAAUAGUCUGCUACUAUUUGAAGUAAGAAUAAUAAAACUCACUUUAAAAAAGAUUGCUUGUUGAGAAACAAUCUAAUCGUUAGGCCAUAAAAGUCACCACAAAUGUAAAAGGGACAGUAACGGUAAACCUGGCGGGGAGGCAGGUGCUACGGUAUCGCUUCUCGGCCUUUUGGCUAAGAUCAAGUGUAGUAUCUGUUCUUAUCAGUUUAAUAUCUGAUACGUCCUCUAUCCGAGGACAAUAUAUUAAAUGGAUUUUUGGAAGUAGGAGAUGGAAUAGGAGCUUGCUCCGUCCACUCCGCGUAUCGACCUGGUAUUGCAGUACUUCCAGGAACGGUACACCCCCUCGGGGGCC
Molecule: non-coding RNA, 923 nt
Organism: Miniopterus natalensis
Lineage: Eukaryota; Metazoa; Chordata; Mammalia; Chiroptera; Miniopteridae
Source: RefSeq, a predicted model, not a curated record